AAUCAACGCUGGCGGCGUGCCUAACACAUGCAAGUCGCACGAGAAAGUGGAGCAAUCCAUGAGUACAGUGGCGCACGGGUGAGUAACACGUGAAUCAUCUACCUCCGAGUGGGGAAUAACCUAGGGAAACCUGGGCUAAUACCGCAUAACACUUACGAGUCAAAGCAGCAAUGCGCUUGGAGAGGAGUUCGCGGCAGAUUAGCUAGUUGGGGGGUAAUGGCCUACCAAGGCGAUGAUCUGUAUCCGGCCUGAGAGGGCGCACGGACACACUGGAACUGAAACACGGUCCAGACUCCUACGGGAGGCAGCAGUGGGGAAUUUUGCGCAAGUGGGGGAAACCCUGACGCAGCAACGCCGCGUGGAGGAUGAAA
RNAcentral lists this ribosomal RNA (371 nucleotides) under uncultured bacterium. RNAcentral describes it as "bacterial SSU rRNA". It matches the Rfam family "Bacterial small subunit ribosomal RNA", at positions 32 to 413 of the family's 1533-position model. The record is from RNAcentral.